Plectropomus leopardus (leopard coralgrouper) is the source of this 268-nucleotide long non-coding RNA. RefSeq lists it as uncharacterized. The record is from RefSeq and is a predicted model, not a curated record. NCBI's taxonomy places the organism in Eukaryota, Metazoa, Chordata, Actinopteri, Perciformes, Serranidae.
CAGCAGAGUGUAGUGAUCCUGAACGUGAGCCGAGUCCUCCGGAGAAAACGGAAGACUGGAAACAAACAACGGGUCACAGUGUGUUAAUGUGUGUGUGAACGUACCGCUGCGUCCUCCGUCCUUCCCAGAGCUCUGAGGACGACAGCAAGAGAACAAAAUGUCAGCGAAACACGUCACGUGCAGUAGUCCCGCCGGAAACACUGACUGAGGCGUCGUCUGUUACGAGGUUUUGGUAGUGGUGCUCCAGUGUGCAGGAGGUCUGCAGAGU